GGAGCGUUCCGUAGGCCUGUGAAGGGGGACCCGUGAGGGCCCCUGGAGGUAUCGGAAGCGAGAAUGCUGACAUGAGUAACGACAAACAGUGUGAGAGACACUGUCGCCGUAAGUCCAAGGGUUCCUGCGUAAAGCUAAUCUGCGCAGGGUUAGCCGGCCCCUAAGGCGAGGCCGAAAGGCGUAGUCGAUGGGAAUCAGGUGAAUAUUCCUGAGCCUGUGGGUAGUGACGAAUUCCGUGUGUUGUCGGGCGUAUUGGUUCUAGCCCGGCAGCGAAGGGGUUCCAGGAAAUAGCUCCCACAUUAUAGACCGUACCCCAAACCGACACAGGUGGACUGGUAGAGUAUACCAAGGCGCUUGAGAGAACGAUGCUGAAGGAACUCGGCAAAUUGCCCCCGUAACUUCGGAAGAAGGAGGACCUUUAUUUGGGCAACCAGGUAAAGGUGGCACAGACCAGGGGGUAGCGACUGUUUAGCAAAAACACAGGGCUCUGCGAAAUCGCAAGAUGACGUAUAGGGUCUGACGCCUGCCCGGUGCCGGAAGGUUAAGAGGAGGGGUGCAAGCUCUGAAUCGAAGCCCCGGUAAACGGCGGCCGUAACAAUAACGGUCCUAAGGUAGCGAAAUUCCUUGUCGGGUAAGUUCCGACCUGCACGAAUGGCGUAACGACUUCCCCGCUGUCUCCAGCAUCGACUCAGUGAAAUUGAAUUCCCCGUGAAGAUGCGGGGUUCCUGCGGUUAGACGGAAAGACCCUUGCACCUUUACUAUAACUUUGCAUUGGCAUUCGUGAUGGCAUGUGUAGGAUAGGUGGUAGGCUUUGAAGCUUGGGCGCUAGCUCAGGUGGAGCCACCCUUGAAAUACCACCCUUGUAGUUAUGAGUGUCUAACCGCGACCCGUUAUCCGGGCCCGGGACAAUGCAUGGUGGGUAGUUUGACUGGGGCGGUCGCCUCCCAAAGAGUAACGGAAGCGCGCGAUGGUGGGCUCAGAGCGGUCGGAAAUCGCUCGUCGAGUGCAAUGGCAUAAGCCCGCCUGACUGCGAGACUGACAAGUCGAGCAGAGUCGAAAGACGGCCAUAGUGAUCCGGUGGUCCCACGUGGACGGGCCAUCGCUCAACGGAUAAAAGGUACGCCGGGGAUAACAGGCUGAUGAUCGCCAAGAGUCCAUAUCGACGCGAUCGUUUGGCACCUCGAUGUCGACUCAUCACAUCCUGGGGCUGGAGCAGGUCCCAAGGGUUCGGCUGUUCGCCGAUUAAAGUGGUACGAGUUGGGUUCAGAACGUCGUGAGACAGUUCGGUCCCUAUCUGCCGUGGGUGUAGGAGAAUUGAGAGGAUCUGUCCCUAGUACGAGAGGACCGGGAUGGACGUACCUCUGGUGGACCUGUUGUGGCGCCAGCCGCAUUGCAGGGUAGCUAUGUACGGACGGGAUAACCGCUGAAGGCAUCUAAGCGGGAAACCCACCUCGAAACUAUGUCUCCCUUGAGAGCCGUGGAAGACGACCACGUUGAUAGGCCGGGUGUGGAAGCGCAGUAAUGUGUGAAGCUUACCGGUACUAAUAGCUCA
Molecule: ribosomal RNA, 1552 nt
Filed under: metagenome
Description: bacterial LSU rRNA
Rfam family: Bacterial large subunit ribosomal RNA
Source: RNAcentral